RNAcentral lists this ribosomal RNA (480 nucleotides) under uncultured Saprospiraceae bacterium. Its description in RNAcentral is "bacterial SSU rRNA". It matches the Rfam family "Bacterial small subunit ribosomal RNA", at positions 28 to 505 of the family's 1533-position model. Lineage: Bacteria; Pseudomonadati; Bacteroidota; Saprospiria; Saprospirales; Saprospiraceae. The record is from RNAcentral.
GAUGAACGCUAGCGGGAGGCUUAAUACAUGCAAGUCGAGGGGUAACAGGGUUUUCGGACCGCUGACGACCGGCGAACGGGUGAGUAACGCGUACACAAUCUACCUUCAAGACUGGGAUAGCCCUGGGAAACUGGGAUUAAUACCGGAUGUGAUUAUAAUGCUGCAUGGUAUAAUAAUUAAAGCUUCGGUGCUUGAAGAUGGGUGUGCGUUCUAUUAGCUAGUUGGUGAGGUAACUGCUCACCAAGGCGAUGAUAGAUAGGGGGCGUGAGAGCGUGAUCCCCCACACGGGUACUGAGACACGGACCCGACUCCUACGGGAGGCAGCAGUAAGGAAUAUUGGACAAUGGGCGCAAGCCUGAUCCAGCCAUCCCGCGUGCAGGAUGACGGCCCUAUGGGUUGUAAACUGCUUUUAUUAGGGAAGAAACGCCUGGUUUUAACCGGGCCUGACGGUACCUAAAGAAUAAGCACCGGCUAACUCCG